Daphnia pulicaria is the source of this 1102-nucleotide long non-coding RNA. RefSeq lists it as uncharacterized. NCBI's taxonomy places the organism in Eukaryota, Metazoa, Arthropoda, Branchiopoda, Diplostraca, Daphniidae. The record is from RefSeq and is a predicted model, not a curated record. The transcript has 4 exons.
GCCAUUCGGUGCAAACCACCAGGGUCAUCUUUUGGUGCAAUGUCUGCAUGGCUCUUAACUUCUUACACCUGCUGCUUCAUGUGGUGAACGAAGGCUGCUGUGUCUUGGAUCUUUACACACCAGGAAUUGAAGAGCUAUUUUGCUUUAUAGACUGAAUGAGAACCAUCAGGUUUUCUUUCCAAGAAAAGGUUAAUCCUGCGCCCCUAUUCAAUGGAUCGAAUUCAUUAAACCUGACGAGAGACGAAAGUUCAGCGAAAACUGACUGACGUGCUAUACUCCUGUACUGACGUGACCACUGAUGUGCAGUAUUCAGCAAUAUUGCUCACUUGCGUGCCAUCCUUUCCUCGCUCCGAUGAUUCAUGGGGGAUUUGAGCCUGCUCCAGCUAUGCGGCCAGCAACGUCAGCAUCAUUUGACUACCCAACCGACUUCUACUACCCCUGCUCUCAACACAGAACGGAGUUUUACUCUUAGAUUGUUUGGCUGUUUGCGAUGUGUGAUGGCGCUUUCUUGGACGAGAUGAUGAUUUUGGGGAGAAAAAUAUUGUAAUUGUGUGGUCCUGGCAGAGAUAUCCUUGAGUUAAUGCUGGCCUUUGUCAAUGACAGAAGAGUGCCUUCCAUCAACGUACUGCUCAAUCCUCAUCUUCGCGAUGCACUGCUUUUUUUUUUGCUGCUACACAACUUGUGUUAGACCACUUCAGGGGCCGCUUCCGUCCGCUGUGACACUGUAGUCACUCACCACGGUAUUUUGCCCAGGUACCCGAAAAUUGACUUAUUUCCGUAGAUUAUCUACUAAUAAUCUACUUGCUUUAAAUCUGUGUCUCUUUAAUAAUUCCUAAAUCAGGACUUCCCUUCUUGCGAGUCGUAUUACGAAAUAUUAUUUAAACCUUUUUUUCUAACGCUAGAUGAACGCUAGAAUAUCAUGAUAAUUUUCAACUGUCAAAAUAGUUAGUUUCAGUUACUUUGCACAUCUCUGUAAACAUUUAUCGGCAGUUAAUAUUGUGUGGGAACUUUUUUGGGGAUAACUGACGAUAACUAUUCCGCAAACAAAGCUCACUUGUUAUUUCGGUAAUUGCUUUUUUUAUCCACUUCCGGUUUCUAAAUU